GACGAACGCUGGCGGCGCGCUUAACACAUGCAAGUCGAACGGAAAGGCCUGCUUUCCCUUGUGGAUUGCGGGUACUCGAGUGGCGAACGGGUGAGUAACACGUGAGUGAUCUGCCCCCAACUUGGGUAUAAGCCUGGGAAACUGGGUCUAAUUCCCGAUAGGACUGCAGGGUGGUGCCUGUGGUGGAAAACGAUUUUCUAGUGGUUGGGGAUGAGCUCGCGGCCUAUCAGCUUGUUGGUGGGGGAAUGGCCUACCAAGGCGGCGACGGGUAGCCGGCCUGAGAGGGUGGACGGCCACAUUGGGACUGAGAUACGGCCCAGACUCCUACGGGAGGCAGCAGUGGGGAAUAUUGCACAAUGGGCGGAAGCCUGAUGCAGCGACGCCGCGUGGGGGAUGACGGCCUUCGGGUUGUAAACUCCUUUCGACCGCGAGGAAGCCACCUGGUUGGAAGGGUGGUGACGGUAGUGGUAGAAGAAGCACCGGCUAACUACGUG
RNAcentral lists this ribosomal RNA (494 nucleotides) under uncultured bacterium. RNAcentral describes it as "partial 16S ribosomal RNA". It matches the Rfam family "Bacterial small subunit ribosomal RNA", at positions 28 to 507 of the family's 1533-position model. The record is from RNAcentral.